AUCUACCCUUGGUCAGGUUGAAGUUCAGGUAACACUGAAUGGAGGACCGAACCGACUUACGUUGAAAAGUGAGCGGAUGAACUGAGGGUAGCGGAGAAAUUCCAAUCGAACCUGGAGAUAGCUGGUUCUCUCCGAAAUAGCUUUAGGGCUAGCCUCAAGUGAUGAUUAUUGGAGGUAGAGCACUGUUUGGACGAGGGGCCCCUCUCGGGUUACCGAAUUCAGACAAACUCCGAAUGCCAAUUAAUUUAACUUGGGAGUCAGAACAUGGGUGAUAAGGUCCGUGUUCGAAAGGGAAACAGCCCAGACCACCAGCUAAGGUCCCAAAAUAUAUGUUAAGUGGAAAAGGAUGUGGCGUUGCCCAGACAACUAGGAUGUUGGCUUAGAAGCAGCCAUCAUUUAAAGAGUGCGUAAUAGCUCACUAGUCGAGUGACACUGCGCCGAAAAUGUACCGGGGCUAAACAUAUUACCGAAGCUGUGGAUUGUCCUUUGGACAAUGGUAGGAGAGCGUUCUAAGGGCGUUGAAGCAUGAUCGUAAGGACAUGUGGAGCGCUUAGAAGUGAGAAUGCCGGUGUGAGUAGCGAAAGACGGGUGAGAAUCCCGUCCACCGAUUGACUAAGGUUUCCAGAGGAAGGCUCGUCCGCUCUGGGUUAGUCGGGUCCUAAGCUGAGGCCGACAGGCGUAGGCGAUGGAUAACAGGUUGAUAUUCCUGUACCACCUAUAAUCGUUUUAAUCGAUGGGGGGACGCAGUAGGAUAGGCGAAGCGUGCGAUUGGAUUGCACGUCUAAGCAGUAAGGCUGAGUAUUAGGCAAAUCCGGUACUCAUUAAGGCUGAGCUGUGAUGGGGAGAAGACAUUGUGUCUUCGAGUCGUUGAUUUCACACUGCCGAGAAAAGCCUCUAGAUAGAAAAUAGGUGCCCGUACCGCAAACCGACACAGGUAGUCAAGAUGAGAAUUCUAAGGUGAGCGAGCGAACUCUCGUUAAGGAACUCGGCAAAAUGACCCCGUAACUUCGGGAGAAGGGGUGCUCUUUAGGGUUAACGCCCAGAAGAGCCGCAGUGAAUAGGCCCAAGCGACUGUUUAUCAAAAACACAGGUCUCUGCUAAACCGUAAGGUGAUGUAUAGGGGCUGACGCCUGCCCGGUGCUGGAAGGUUAAGAGGAGUGGUUAGCUUCUGCGAAGCUACGAAUCGAAGCCCCAGUAAACGGCGGCCGUAACUAUAACGGUCCUAAGGUAGCGAAAUUCCUUGUCGGGUAAGUUCCGACCCGCACGAAAGGCGUAACGAUUUGGGCACUGUCUCAACGAGAGACUCGGUGAAAUCAUAGUACCUGUGAAGAUGCAGGUUACCCGCGACAGGACGGAAAGACCCCGUGGAGCUUUACUGUAGCCUGAUAUUGAAAUUCGGCACAG
Molecule: ribosomal RNA, 1404 nt
Filed under: Staphylococcus aureus
Lineage: Bacteria; Bacillati; Bacillota; Bacilli; Caryophanales; Staphylococcaceae
Description: partial 23S ribosomal RNA
Rfam family: Bacterial large subunit ribosomal RNA
Source: RNAcentral